UUGUUGGUAAGGUAAAAGCUUACCAAGGCUUCGAUCAGUAGCUGGUCUGAGAGGACGACCAGCCACACUGGGACUGAGACACGGCCCAGACUCCUACGGGAGGCAGCAGUGGGGAAUUUUGGACAAUGGGGGCAACCCUGAUCCAGCCAUGCCGCGUGAGUGAAGAAGGCCUUCGGGUUGUAAAGCUCUUUCAGCCGGAACGAAACGGUUACGGUUAACACCCGUGACUACUGACGGUACCGGAAGAAGAAGCACCGGCUAACUACGUGCCAGCAGCCGCGGUAAUACGUAGGGUGCGAGCGUUAAUCGGAAUUACUGGGCGUAAAGCGUGCGCAGGUGGUUUUGUAAGUCAGAUGUGAAAGCCCCGGGCUCAACCUGGGAACUGCGUUUGAAACUACAAGACUAGAGUGUGGCAGAGGGGGGUGGAAUUCCGCGUGUAGCAGUGAAAUGCGUAGAGAUGUGGAGGAACACCGAUGGCGAAGGCAGCCCCCUGGGUCAACACUGACGCUCAGGCACGAAAGCAUGGGGAGCAAACAGGAUUAGAUACCCUGGUAGUCCAUGCCCUAAACGAUGUCAACUAGUUGUCGGGCCUUUACGGGCUUGGUAACGUAGCUAACGCGUGAAGUUGACCGCCUGGGGAGUACGAUCGCAAGAUUACAACUCAAAUGAAUUGACGGGGACCCGCACAAGCGGUGGAUUAUGUGGAUUAAUUCGAUGCAACGCGAAAAACCUUACCUACCCUUGACAUGUAUCGAAGCCCGCAGAAAAGCGGGGGUGCCCGAAAGGGAACGAUAACACAGGUGCUGCAUGGCUGUCGUCAGCUCGUGUCGUGAGAUGUUGGGUUAAGUCCCGCAACGAGCGCAACCCUUGUCAUUAAUUGCCAUCAUUUAGUUGGGCACUUUAAUGAGACUGCCGG
Molecule: ribosomal RNA, 916 nt
Filed under: uncultured bacterium
Lineage: Bacteria
Description: bacterial SSU rRNA
Rfam family: Bacterial small subunit ribosomal RNA
Source: RNAcentral